RNAcentral lists this ribosomal RNA (482 nucleotides) under uncultured bacterium. RNAcentral describes it as "partial 16S ribosomal RNA". It matches the Rfam family "Bacterial small subunit ribosomal RNA", at positions 28 to 507 of the family's 1533-position model. The record is from RNAcentral.
GACGAACGCUGGCGGCGUGCUUAACACAUGCAAGUCGAACGAUGAAGAAGAGAAACGCGAACUUCGGUUCAACUUUCACUUCGGAUUAGUGGCAGACGGGUGAGUAACGCGUGAGCAACCUACCUCUUACAAAGGGAUAGCCUCGGGAAACCGUGAUUAAUACCAUAUGACACAUUCAUAAGGCAUCUUAAGAAUGUUAAAGCUACGGCGGUAAGAGAUGGGCUCGCGUCCCAUUAGCUAGUUGGUGAGGUAACGGCCCACCAAGGCGACGAUGGGUAACCGGCCUGAGAGGGUGACCGGUCACAUUGGAACUGAGACCCGGUCCAAACUCCUACGGGAGGCAGCAGUGGGGAAUAUUGCACAAUGGAGGGAACUCUGAUGCAGCGACGCCGCGUGAGCGAUGAAGGAAUUCGUGUCGUAAAGCUCUGUUCUAUGGGAAGAAAAGGACUGUACCAUAGGAGAAAGCCCCGGCUAACUACGUG